GGCCACGUAGCCAAGUGGCAAGGCAAGGGUCUGCAAAACCCUCAUCGCCGGUUCGAUUCCGGCCGUGGCCU
This 71-nucleotide transfer RNA is filed under the name Planctomycetota bacterium. RNAcentral's name for it is "tRNA-Cys". It matches the Rfam family "tRNA". From Rfam's summary of the family: Transfer RNA (tRNA) molecules are approximately 80 nucleotides in length. Their secondary structure includes four short double-helical elements and three loops (D, anti-codon, and T loops). The record is from RNAcentral. Lineage: Bacteria; Pseudomonadati; Planctomycetota. RNAcentral also lists the same sequence under 1 other name.